GAAAUGCGAUAAGUAAUGCGAAUUGCAGAAUUUCCGUGAGUCAUCGAAUCUUUGAACGCACAUUGCGCCCACUGGUAUUCCGGUGGGCAUGCCUGUUCGAGCGUCAUUAUCCUCCCUCAAACCCCGGGUUUGGUGUUGGGCCGCGUCGGUCUUGGGUGAUCGACGGGCCUCAAAGGCAAUGACGGCGUCCGUGGGACCCUCGGUGCAACGAGCUUCUUCCAAAAAGCACGCGUCGAGUCUAAAGGACCUUCCGGGCCGGUCUCCCAAAUUUACUUUACUACAAGGUUGACCUCGGAUCAGGUAGGAAUACCCGCUGAACUUAA
RNAcentral lists this unclassified non-coding RNA (323 nucleotides) under uncultured Ascomycota. Its description in RNAcentral is "sequence contains ITS1". The stretch from base 1 to 106 matches the Rfam family "5.8S ribosomal RNA", at positions 50 to 154 of the family's 154-position model. The record is from RNAcentral. Lineage: Eukaryota; Fungi; Ascomycota.